UCAUGCUUAUGUCAUUUGAUUUUUUUGCCCUUUCCCCCUCCAAGCAUGGAAACUUUUUCUCCACACAGUUAUUCACCAUUUCUACAGACAAUCUCCCAUUCCUUUUUAUGCUUUGUUUGAUUUUCAUUUUUUCCAACUACUUUUUUUUCUGUCCUCUUCACAAUCACGCAUUGUUCAUUCAAAUAAUAUUACACUUAUUCCUACCACACAUUUUUCAUAAAAAUGGGCUCAAACACUCCCUUACUUGUUCCAUUCUCGAUUUUGCCUCUCAAUUAUACAUCAUACACAUACCUCUUUUACACUCCGUUUCUCCAUUCCUCCCACCUCCAGUUAUACAUCACAAGCUUCUUUUGCUCUCUUCAUUAGCAAAUUUGGGAAUGGAAUUUAGAGGAGGAAAAAGGAGAGAUAGAGAAUUGCUGUGGAAAAUGGGAGUACGCCUCUGCAAUAAUUGGGAUUGGAUAGAGAGAAAAGCUCUCUUGCAUUUGAUGAAAGCAAAAAUAGAAAUUUCCUGCUAAAACGUUUGAGGAGAAGUUGAGUUUGGCUCUAUCAUUUCAUUUAAUUUGAAAUUUUGAGAUUUAGAAUCGAGUUUUCUAUUAAGUAAAAGUAAUAGGAUAAGUAUUUAGUUUAUAUUGAUUAUCUUUAAUGUUUCAAUAUAGGGGUUGAAGAUGAAUAUGAUCAUGACAAACUAUUCAAUGCCAUGGACGACGGGAUAUGAACUACGCAAAAAGAUCAAUUGUGAGGAAUUGCUUCACUUUGCAGUAGGAGCCAUGACAGGGUUAAAAGUCAAUGCUAAUAUUUGGAGCAGGUGGCGUUGGACUUCAUGGUCCGUACGGCUUCUGAUGGAUUUGCCAUAAUGAGGAAGUUAAUUUUCUUCAUUGGUAGCUGGUUAUCGAAUCUAUUAUGGUGGGGCAAGAAUGCCUACAGUUGAAUCAAUGUUGGACAAGGAAAAUAUUACAUUGGAAGAGCUUCUAUUUGAAGAAGAGAUUAUCCGGGAAUGCAAAUCAUUAAAUAGUUGCCUCAUAAAUUUGAAUGCACCUUUAUUUUUCAGCUGCAUAUUUCUAUUUUAUUAGUCUUGUCAUUUAUGUUAUGGGUGCCUUUUUAAUGGGUAAUGGUUCCUUGGCAAUCACACCCUCACCAUGAUCUGCUGGUUUCACUUUUAGUUUUGAAGUUCUGUGAAGACAAUGUGAAAUUGUAUUGGUGUUUAGUUUGAGAGAUAGAGCUCAGGUUGAACAGUUGCUGAACUACAUCGUUCAUGAGUCUCCAAAUGAUGUGGAUAGCAAACGAAUGUCCAGAUGCCAUAUCAUUUUAGCUUUCAAACCGUAUUUAUUUUUCCCCAAAACUGGUCUUAUGAACAUGAGGUAUUAACUCAA
This is a long non-coding RNA of Olea europaea var. sylvestris, 1370 nucleotides long. RefSeq lists it as uncharacterized. The record is from RefSeq and is a predicted model, not a curated record. The transcript is spliced from 5 exons. Lineage: Eukaryota; Viridiplantae; Streptophyta; Magnoliopsida; Lamiales; Oleaceae.